GACGAACGUUGGCGGCGUGCUUAAUACAUGCAAGUCAACUGAAGCAGUGGUAGCAAUAUCGCUGUGGAGGUGGCGCACGGGUGAGUAACACGUAGGUAAUCUGCCUUCAGGUCUGGCAUAACUCCGGGAAACCGGGGCUAAUAGCAGAUGAUGCAGCGGCUCGACAUCGAGACAGUUGUUAAAGCUAUGGCGCCUGAAGAUGAGCCUGCGUCUGAUUAGCUAGUUGGCGGGGUAACGGCCGACCAAGGCAACGAUCAGUAGCUGGUCUGAGAGGAUGAUCAGCCACACUGGAACUGAGACACGGUCCAGACUCCUACGGGAGGCAGCAGUAAGGAAUAUUGCUCAAUGGGAGAAAUACUGAAGCAGCAACGCCGCGUGAGGGACGAAGGGCUUUUGCUUGUAAACCUCUGUAGUGAGAGAAAAAAAUCCCAAUCUUUGGGACAUGAUGGUAUCUCAAAAGUAAGCCCCGGCUAACUACGUG
RNAcentral lists this ribosomal RNA (481 nucleotides) under uncultured bacterium. Its description in RNAcentral is "partial 16S ribosomal RNA". It matches the Rfam family "Bacterial small subunit ribosomal RNA", at positions 28 to 507 of the family's 1533-position model. The record is from RNAcentral.